AGACCGGUACUUGUUGCCUUCAGGGCCCUUCCUCAUGAAAUCUGCUAAAAGCGGCGUCCUGUGAACGUGCCGUAAAUAUUGAUUUUUGGAAUUUGCUGGAUUUGGUGAUGGCGAGCCCAGCCUGUGUGACUGGACAGUUAUGGAAGCAGUGUGGCCUACCAUGGAACCUCUCCACGGAAAAUGUCUGACCAGCUUGAUUCAAUCAUUCAGACAAGAGGCCCCAGUGUUUUCUAAAUGUGAUGAGGUUAUGGGCUCAAGCUCUGCUCACUGACCAGCCAGUCAACACAGUCAGCAUUGACCUCAGCGAAGACAAAUGGG
Molecule: long non-coding RNA, 318 nt
Organism: Lates calcarifer (barramundi perch)
Lineage: Eukaryota; Metazoa; Chordata; Actinopteri; Centropomidae
Exons: 3
Source: RefSeq, a predicted model, not a curated record